AAUGGACGAAAGUCUGAACCAGCCAUGCCGCGUGGAGGAUGAAGGUCCUCUGGAUUGUAAACUUCUUUUAUAUGGGACGAAAAAAGGGUUUUCUAACUCGUCUGACGGUACCAUAUGAAUAAGCACCGGCUAACUCCGUGCCAGCAGCCGCGGUAAUACGGAGGGUGCAAGCGUUAUCCGGAUUCACUGGGUUUAAAGGGUGCGUAGGUGGGUUGGUAAGUCAGUGGUGAAAUCUCCGAGCUUAACUUGGAAACUGCCAUUGAUACUAUCAGUCUUGAAUAUUGUGGAGGUCAGCGGAAUAUGUCAUGUAGCGGUGAAAUGCUUAGAUAUGACAUAGAACACCAAUUGCGAAGGCAGCUGGCUACGCAUAUAUUGACACUGAGGCACGAAAGCGUGGGGAUCAAA
Molecule: ribosomal RNA, 405 nt
Filed under: uncultured bacterium
Lineage: Bacteria
Description: bacterial SSU rRNA
Rfam family: Bacterial small subunit ribosomal RNA
Source: RNAcentral